UUUUUUGUUUAAUGAUCAUAUUUUCUUAUUCAAAUUUAAAAAAACAACAACCACAUAGUCUUUACACAUUGGGCCAGCCUGAAAUAAUAGAAUAAAAAUGAGCUUGACCCGGCCCAUCCCAAACGAGUUUAGGACAUAUACCCUCAGAAAUAGGGUUUCCUAAAACAUUCCUCAUUUUCCACCCACUCUAUCUGAAAAUUGAUGUCGCCGCCUGCCAUCCUCUGCGUCUAUUACCCAUUUGCACAAGUAUGAAGCUACUUCCCCCUUUAUGUUUUUGUUCUAGUUUCCUCUCCGGUUAACUUGCUUCCUCUAUCCAAAUUCUAGUUGAAAUCUUCGAUGGAUGCUUGAGAUGAUCUCCUCUAACCUUGUAUCAGUCAGGAAGAAGAUUGCAUUUGGAAUCUAGCCAUCGCCUAGGUUACACAGUAACUUGCCAUAGAUCCACUUCCUUUUUGCUGAUAGAACCUUUUGUAGUCUUGUGUAUAGUAGACCUAGCAACAGAUUACUUAUCAUUUUGAAGAAAGAACCAUUUGUAAGCUUCUGUAUAUUAGACUUGCUUAAUCUAUCUUUUCACCCCUUUUAAGGUGACAAUCUCAAGUAUGGUGUCUGAGAUUUAUCACUGUUGAGUAUUUUCUUUCCUGUUGUUUGCAUCUGUUGAAAACUUGUGAAUGUGAAUUCAUUUACUUUAAAUGCAUGAUUAGCAAAGUAAUCAGCCAAUUUAUUCCCUUCUCUCAGAAUGUGCUAAAGCUGGACUGUUAUAUGUUACAGUAACUUCCAUAUUUGAUUAACUUUAUCCUCUAUACUCCAUGGACAAUCCCAUAGUUUUUCUAAAAACUUCAGCAUACUUAAUGAAUCAGUUUGUAUGACUACUUUGCUAAUAUGUGCCUUGUUGCAAUGUAAUGCUGCUUGUAGUAUAGCUUCUGCUUCUGCUUGUAAAUUUGUAGUAUCUUCCAUGAUUGUAACUUUUGCAUACACUAAAUCCCCCCUUUCAUCCGUCACACAAAAUGCAGAAGAACUUGCCCCUGGAUUCUCCCUAGAGGCUCCAUCUGUAUUGAUUUUACUCCAUCCUUGUUGAGGAAAAUCCCAUUUCACCUUUGUGACUUUCAUCCUUGUUUUGUGCCUUGCCAACUCUGCAAAUAUUUCUGGCCAUGUAUUGAGAAAUUCUUGGUAUGGCUUCCUUACUUUCAGUAGUAAUCUGAUGUUUCUGAUAACGUUGUGUUGUACACUAUGCUCUGAUAUCUGUUUCCCUUCAUAUUUCCCUUUGUUUCUUCUUCUCCACAGCUCCUAAAUAAUGAUGCUAGGAUCAACUAGAUAAUAGCUUCUAUCUCUGAGUCUUAACAUCUUCAUUCCACCAUUCCAUUACAAUCUUCCUAAAGUUUAGUCCUUGUAUAUUUAUACCUGCAAAAUAAGAAAAGUAGGACCAUGUCCUGUUAGUAAUAGGAGCUCUCAGAAACACAUGUGAAAUAGUCUCCUGAACAUGGGUGGUACAACACCAAUAUUUGGUAGGUCCUUCUACCCCCCACCUUCUAAUAGCCUCCUCAAUUGGUAUUUUUCCUUUCCAAAUUCUCCACAUUAGAAAGGAGAAUUUAAAAGGUAGUCCUUUUAUUCACAUUUCCUUGAAAAUUUCACUCUUUUCCUUCCCCUAUCUAAUAUACUUCCAGGAAGACUUCACAGUAAAUUUCCCAUUAGAUUGAAGCAUCCAAAUGGAUUUAUCAUUUCCCCUACUCCCAUCUGGUGGCUGUACAUUACCAUGAUGUGAGUAGUAAUUUCCCCUGGUAUCAGCUGAUUCAACACAUUAACAUUUUAUGUUUCUUGACUUUGUCAAAUUAAUUAUAUUCUGAAACCUAUCAUCCCACAUCAAGUCAUUAUCUGUAAUAUGGUACAGACUCUCUAAUGUUGUCCAAUUAUCCCACCAAAUGCUAGAUUCUCCAUUCUUGACUUUCCACAAUAUUUGAUGCUCUGUCAAAUCUCUAGCUUGUAGCAUUUUCUUCCAUACUUGUGAACCCCCAGCUCCUUUGUUCCACAGAAUCAUAUUAGGAUGUUCUUUCUUACAGUACUUAUUAUGCAUAUAGUCCACCCAAAUAGACCUUUUGGUUCUGAAGUUCCACCAUAGCUUACAAAACAAAGCCAUAGAAACAUCUUUUAACAAUCUGAAACCUAACCCUCCUUCUUCCUCAGGCAUACACAUAACUUGCCACUUCACCCAGUGCCUACUCUUGUACCCUAUGUAGCUGCUCCAAAAAAAUUGAGCAAGCAUUUUCUGUAUUUGAUUCAGAACAUUCAUUGGGGGAUUCAUUACUGAUAAAGAGUGAACUGGAAUACUCUGAAGAACAUGUUUAAUCAGAAUAGCCCUUCCCCCAUAUGACAGUAAUUUACCCUUUCAACACUGAAAUUUACCACUUAUUCUAUUCAUCAACCCCUGAUAGUGAUCUUUCUUCUUUCUUAUAUGAAAAAUAGGACAACUAAGGUAUGUAAAAUGGAAAUCAUUCCUCAUAAUUCCUGUUAUCACCUCUGCUAUAGCCACUACCCCAUAAGACACAUUUUUAUGCAAAUAUAUAACACUCUUAUCCUUAUUGAUCCUCUUACCUGAAGCUCUCUCAUACUUUUCUAAAGAUUCUGUCAACAACCUCAAAGUAUUGAUCUAUGCCUUGCAUAAAAUGAUCAUAUCAUCAGCAAAAGCUAAAUGAUUCAACUUAGAACUUCCUCUAGGCAUCCCAAAAGUUUUAAACUCUUUAGUCAACAAUAACUUUUUAUGAGAGCUGGACAUUACCUCAGCUGCUAUAAUAAAUAGUGUUGGUGACAGAGGAUCUCCUUGUUUCAAACCUCUAGAUGAUCUAAAGAAACCCUUAGGUUGACCAUUUAAAAUGAUUGAAUACCAAUUAUUACUCAACAACCUAUACACCAUAUCUAUAAUAAGUUCUCCAAAACCCAUUUUUCUCACAACUUUUAUCAAAAAAACCAUUCAACCCUAUCAUAUGAUUUCAUCAUAUCCAACUUUAAGACCAUGUUAGGAGGCUUACCUCUUUUAUUAUUUUCUGACACAAUCUCCUGUACCACCAGGAUAUUCUUUGCUAUACCCCUUCCAUUUACAAAUUCAGCUUGCUCUUCUGAAAUAAUCCCUGGUAACAGUUUCUUAAUUCUAUCAUGUAUGAUUCUUGAAAAAAUCUUGUUGACAAAAUUACAUAAAGAAAUUAUCCUAAAGUCAGAGAAAGUAUUAAGCACCAACUUCUUUGGUAACAUUACUAAAUUUAUGUGGGUAAUAAACUUGCGCAGUUCAUAUCCACCAAAAAAAGUUUUUACCAUUUCAUAAAUGUCAUUCCUAAUAAUUUCCCAAGAAUCUUGAUAGAAGGCUCCAUUCAUACCAUCUGGUCCUCCUGCACUAUUUUUGCUAAGCCCCAUCACAGCUUCUUUGACUUCCUACAUUGUUGGAUAUGUAAUCAAUUCCUCAUUCUGCUUCGAAUCAAUUAACUCUAGUAUUUCCUCCAAAAUAGAAAAGUCUUCACAUUGCUGCCCUUUGGUAAACUGCUUCUCAAAGAAUCUGAUUACAGCCUUUGAAAUGUCAGCCUGAUUAUCCAUCCACUCCCCUUAUUCAUUUUGAAUUCUACUCACCUUUAGACUAUUUCUUCUCCCUCUUACAAUAGUAUAGAAAAAUUUAGUGUUUCUCUCACCAUUCUUAAACCACUCAAAGCCUGAUUUUUGUUUCCAGAAAUCAUUCUCGCUUCUGAGCUGCAUAUUCAACUUUGCCUAGGAUUUGAUCAAUUUAUCUCUAUUCUCUCCAGUUGGAUUCUAAUCAAAUUGGAUAUCCAAGACUUUAACAACAUCCUCAAGAGUUGCAAUUUCUUGAAAAAGAUUACCAAAUUUCUCUUUGCUCCACUAUGUUAAUGCUUUCUUAGUCUUCUUCUGCUUGUUAUGAAACAUGAUAAAUGGGUUACCCUGCACUUUUGUUAUCCAAUUCUACCUAAUUACCUCCAAACAAGUCUUAUACUUCAGCCAAAAGUUCAGAAAUCUAAAAGAUUUGAUGAUCUUUUCCUAGGGAUUAUACAUCUACAAUAGCAAAGGGUUAUGAUCCGAUCCACUACUAGGAAAAUAUUCUACUUCUAUUACCUGGAAUAAAUUUUGCAGCUUGUUAUUCCUUAAUACUCUGUCCAUACUCUCAAAUAUGCAAGCCUCAUCCACUCUCCCAUUCCACUAUGUAAACUUACUCCCUUUAAAACCUGGAUCUUCUAAAUUACAUACACUUAUACAGUGAUUAAAAUCACCUGUAUCUGCUAAUGUAACAGGUAAACCUGUAAGUUUUUCUUCAUUACUAGUUACUACAUUGAAAUCUCCCCCGACAAUCCAUGGUUCAUUCACUGAAUGAGCCAUAUCAGCUAGAGAUUCCUACAAUGCCGUCCUUUUCUGAUUUGUACACUUAGAAUACACCAAGGUUACUACUACUCCAAUUCCUUCUUGAUUAAAGAUCUUCAAAGUUAAUUGCUUUUCAUCUUUUACCACAGUUCAUUGAACUCUUCCAUCACAAAAAGCCCAUAUUUUCCCAGAGGAAUUACUUACUGCCUGCUACAUACCCAAUCUGGUUUUGUACUCCUCAAUGGUUCUGGCAUCCAGGAAAGGUUCCAUGAGACCAAUAAAGUAGAAAUGGUGUCUCUUUUGCAUUGUGAUCAGUCUUGAAAAAGCUUUCUUUGUAUUUACUGAUCUUAUGUUCCACAAUAAUGCUUUCAUCCUAAAUUAUUUUUAGAUUGACUUCUGGUAACCAUUGUAUUAGCACUUGCCUUCUUGCCUUCUUGCGUUUUUUCUUUUUUUUUUUCCCAACUACUGCUUUAAUUAUGUCAAUUUGCUUAAGAGAUAAACCUCCUUCAAUGGCCACUCUAUCAAUAUUGUCUUCUAAAUCUCCCUCAUCCAGGGACUCUUUGUCCUUGUUUGCCAAUUCCAACUGUUGAUCAGCCUGUAUGAUAAAAAGUAGUACUCCUUCCUCUACCUUUUCUAAUUCAUUAGAAUGCUUAACAAAUGCUAAUUCAAUUUAUUUUUGUGUCUGCUCUCCAUCUGCAUGAUCCUCUAUUACUUUUCCCUAAAUUUGCCUCUCAAUCUGCUUAGGAGUAGUAUUAUUAUCUGCAUUCCAUACUCCUUGUUUAACACCAAAUGUAUUUGUAACCCAUUAGCUGGAACAUCUUCAACUGCAUCUUCCCCAACUUCCCCUGUAAUGUGCCCAUAUUUAUCUUUUUUGUAUUUAUUCCUCGUAUGACAUUGUAACUUAUUGUUCCUUCUUUUAUUAUUGCUGAUCUUUGCUGAUACAUCUUUUUCAACAUUGUGACUUGCACUAUCUUUAUUACGUUGAUUAUCUUCUGACAACUGUUUGUCUCUUGCAUCUUCGUAUAGCUCAGGAUGAAUGUUCCAACAGCUAUUUCAUCAUGCCCCUAUAAGUAACACUCUUUAUAGUACUUGGGCAUAUGAUCAUACUGUAUUGCUACCCAUUUUGAUUUAAUUGCUCCUGUUAUGUCAUUCUCUUCAUUAAUUCUGACUCUCUGUGGAAGUUUAUCUACCAAGUCCACCUCAACUUUGACCUUAGCAAAACUAGGUCGUAUUUUAUUUCUCAUUGCUAUGUCGUCUAUCAAAGGUUUCCCAACAGCUGAUGCUAUAGAAAAGACAACCUCUUUUGCAAAAAAUUUGGAGGUAAAACUUACAUUGAAAUCCAAGCUACCUAACUUGAUGUUUCAAUAUCAGGUUCAAUACAAGGGUACCAUUUUUAUGUCCCCAUCUGCCAAUAUUUAUCCUUUGCCUUGAUGUAAUAUGUGGACAUUGAUAAAAGUGUAACAUAAUCUUCAAGAAUUUCCAAAUGGAUUAAAAUGUCUAGCAUCAAGAACACUAAUAGUGCAAUCGCCCUUUAUACCACAUUGACCCUGGAAUAACCUUGCAAAGUUCAUUCACAUCCGGCUUACCAUCUAAAAAUUUACCUAUUAUAGAAUAUUGUAAAUUUUCUUGUACAAUCAAGUGUCGUAUCUCUGAACUUUUCCUUGUGAUACUAGGUUCUCCCUGAAACAUCACUACCGGCUUUGGGAGAACCCUGUUAUUAUUAUUCAAUACCUCCUUAGGUUUCACUUUUUUUGCAUAACUCAUUUUCAUAUCAGUAAUUUUAAUUGCAUUAGCAGCCAUAUUUAUGUGAGAUUUCUCUUUAGGUGGUUUAAGCCCACCGAAAGAGGGUGGAGGCCAUGGUGUCCGAUCGAAUAAUUAGGGUUUGGAGAGAGAAAAAACUGUAUUAAGGAUGGCGUAUGAAUACUAGGUCUGAAACUAUCAUAACUAUCGACAUAACUAUGUGUGUGGUAGAAUAAGGUAAUUCAUCACCAAUGGUGAUUCAUAAGAUACAUCUGUAAUGACCUAAUAUGUGAAACCUUCCAUUUUUAUGUGUUUUGACUAUUUUACCUAUGUAGUUGUUACAUGAUUAUUAGAGGUGGGGAUGGUUGGCACGAUGCAUUUGGAAAUAAUUUGAGAGAGGGAAAUAAUUUGAGAGAGUUUGAGACUCUUCGAGGCUUUAAAAAGCCACUAGUUUGAUUUUGGUCAAUAUCUUGUGUUUUGUGUGCCGAAUGACAAUUUAUAUAGUUCCAGUAGAUUCGAAUAUCAAAUUUGAGUUAGUAGCUGGGUUGGUUCGUGUUCAAAAUAUUUAUUUUGCAUUUCGACCCUCAUUGUGAAAAUUAGUUUAAAAUAAGCUUUUAGAGGUUCCGGGGGUUAGUUUGUUGAAAAUAUUUUUUUUCAAAAUCUAAUAUUUUUAUUGAGUCCAAAACAUCAAAAAUAGCCUAGAAGCAUUGUUCAUUUGCAUUCACCGAAUUCUGAACGAAUUUUGAGUGGUCGAUUGACAAUUUUGCAACUUAGCAAAGUUGUUGAUACAACUGAUAUCUAGUGCAGCUGCUUGAGCGCCCAAGGAACACUUUAGAGGCAUGUCACCACUUUACCGAUCUCACUCCACUUAUGUAGUAGUUGCUUUAGCGGCAUGGUGCCACUUUAGUGAUUAUUUAGUUUCUAAAAUGGCUAUCGCUGAAGUAACAUAUCUAGCCCAUUUUAUAAUUUUGCUUCUUUUUUUGACCUUGAAGGAUCGUGUUUUGAUGAUUUUGAUGGUUUUUUUCACCAUUUGAGCUUGGAUAAGCUUCAAAAUCUUAUUUCAAUAAAUUCUCAUUGAUUAUAUCUUCAAAAACACUCUUUAAUCUUGAUUUUAAAAUGGAUUUUUAGGGUUUGGCAGGUAAAGCUUAAAAAUAAUUUUUCAUUAAUUUGAACUUUGUUUUUAACUCAUUUUUGCUUGGGUUUUCAACUGUAGACUCUUAUAACCUUGGAGAACUUAUUUCUAAAAUAAAAUUUUAGUUUUACCCCUUUUAGUUUUGCACCCAUUUUGCACUUGAUUUAAAUAUGGCCGAUAUAGGUAUCAUUAACUUUCUUUUAACCUGCAGAUGUUAUAUUUGAAUUUUUAAUUGAUUUUGAGAGCGUUCAAAAGGGGAAAACUCCAUGUUGAAGACAUUAGGCUCAGAUUUAAUCACUUUGAGGUAGGUUACUUUCUUUUGACUGGACUGGGUAGUUAAUAAAUAAGUAAAACAUGCUAUGUGUUGGGGAAAUUAGCCAUGGGAGUUGUAUUUCGAGAUUAUUUGUUGUUUUAUGCCCGUUUGGGGGCUUAUAUGCUUAUUUUUGUUGAAUUGAGAUGUCUUAUACUGCGUGUUACCUGUGCGGGGGCUUUAUUUGAUUUCCAUAAGCUUGAAUUUGGCAUUAAUUAUCUUAUUUUUAAUGUGAUGCAUGUGCAGGGGCUUGAAUAGAUACUAUAGGUCUUAUUUAAGCAUUUUUGCCUUUAUCAUGAUAUUCAUGCCCAAUUUAGGGGUUUGAUGUGAUAUUAAUGAUGCCGUACAAGCCUAUUAUUCUGGUGGUGCUGAGUGAGAUCUGAUAUCAUGAAUUACUAAUAUUUUGAGUUGAUUCUUAGCUCACGUAUACAUGUAUCAAGUUGAUUAUUAUCUUUAUACUUACUUGAUUGUGAGUAUUACAUCCUUAUCCAUACAUACCCAUUUAUGAGAUGUUGGUACCAUUAGAAACAUUGAUAUGAAAGAAAAUUGAGAUUUUUAUGAAAACCCUUAAUUUGUAAACAAUAGAUAGAGUGGUAAAUGAGACAUUUUUAUGUAAAACCCUUGAUCCAUGAACACUUUCCAGAGAGUGAAGUUGAGAUUUGAGGUAGUAUAGGGGUUGCAAACCCCCUGUGGAUCCUAUCUUGGGAGCACUGAGGCUCGGUAGGUGUAUGCAAAAAUUCAUGGUAUGAAUUUCAGUCAUUCAUCAUGAUUCCAUCUUCAUUGCAUUGCAUUUUGUGUACUUUUAUGUACUUGACACACAUUUAUUUUCUGUAUACGUUUAGUGUGUAUCUAUUUUUAUUCAUUCCAUAUAAUAUGUAUAUAUAUGUAUGUGUAUGUGUAUGUGUGUGUGUAUAUACAUACAUUAAAACUAUUAGUGGAGAUGGUAUGAGCUACCAUUUGAGAACUUUUCUGCUUGCAGGUUAUGUUCUCAUAACAUCUUUUACUUGUAUUAUUUUCUUCUUUACUCAGUUGUCCCAUGAUACCAACUAAGUAUAAGUGAACUGUGCUCACCCCUACUAUGCCCUUUUGGUAAAGAUACUAGUAUGAAUAAGAGACAUGAUAGUUGAUUUAUGCUAUUUAGAAUUGACAUUAGAGGUACUGGAGAACUCAUGAGUUUGGGGUAGGCUCCAGAUCUCUCCCUAUCUUAGUUGUCUUUAUUUAUCUUUGGAGACAGACUUACGUAUUUUUCAGUUUUUGUAUGUCGUAUUUAGAUGCUCUUAUAUUUGUGACUCUUCUUCUUAGGGUAUAAGGUAUUUUGUUCUGACUUUCUCUUUAUUGUACAUGUGUUGACUUGACUUCAUUCUAGAAAUCUCAUUUUCUUGUUUUUGUUUGUAUUUUUGAUUUUCUUUCGUUUUGGGGAAUCAACUUACUUACCAAGGCAGGGUCUCGGUAAGUGCCAUCAUGACCUCAAUUUUUUAUUCAUGAAAAACUAAUAUCAGAGCCCCAUGUUCGCCACUCGCAUAAGUGUAAUGGCCCAUUAUUUUUUAUUGAUUAUAUCAUAAAAAACAACUCUAAAUCAUGAUUGGGGUUUUUAUUGGUAAAGUUUAAAAGAGUUUUUCUCUAAUUUGGGCCUCACUUUUAACCUGUUUUCACCUGGAUUUUCUCCUGUAGACUACCAUAAUCUUGGGAAAUGUGUUUUUAAAAUAAAGUUACAGUUUUACCCUUUUAUUUUGAACUCAUUUUUUAAAUUCAUUUUGGAUCCGACCUGAAUAUGAAAUAUAUGGAUAUCAUUAGUUUUGUUUUAAUGGGUAGAUGCUAUAUUUGAAUGUUAUAGUUUAUUUUGAGGCUGUAUAUAGGGGGAAUGAUCUACAUUGAAGUACUUUAGUUUAUUCUAGAUAUGAUUUUGUGGGGCUUAUUUUAAUAAUAUAGGAUUUAUUUGAGUAUUGAUUGCCUUUAUCAUGAUAGAUUUACUUGAGUUAGGGGUUAAUAUGAUAUUAAUGAUGUCUUACAUUCAUAUUUAUUUUGAUGGUGCUAAAUUAGCGUUGAAGAUCAUGAAGUAUGGUCAUACUGAGUUUAUUUUUUGCUCACUUAUAUACAUAUAUGUUGGAUGGACUGGAUCAUUAUAUUAAGUUAAUUGUGAGCAUUACAUCCUCAUUCCAUGCAUAUAUAAAUUCAUGAGAUACUAGUACCAUUGUGAAACCACUGUUUUAAAAAGAAAAUGAGACACUUUUAUGAAUACCCUCUCUGUGAACAUGAGCUGAACUGGUGAGCUGGGAUUAAGAUAUGAGAUAUAGUAUAUAGGUUGCGAAUCCCUAUGGAUCCUACCUAGGAGUUGCGAGAUCAAUGGGUGUAUAUAGAAAGUCAUGCGAUGGCUUUCACCAUUCAACCCAUCUAUAUUGUAUUGCAUUUCAUCAAAGCACGUUUCUUUCAUGAUUUAUUUAUUUUCCUUGACUUGUGCUCGUUUCAGUAUCCUCAUGUAUGUUUUUUCUAUUUUUGUUUCUAUUUAUAUAUUUGAAUUGUUAGUUGAGACAAUGCGCGCUACAGUUUGAGACUUUUUCUUUUACAUGUGACGUGCUCAUAAUUUUCUUUUCUUAUAUUAUUUCCUACUUUUCUUAGUCAACCUAUGAUAUUAGUUGUGUAAAAAUGGACUAUACUCACCCUACUGUGUCCUUUGCUGCAGAUCUGAGUAUGAGUAGAGGAUGCAAUAGCUGAUUUCGUGCAAAUUGCAGCGACGUUUGAGGUAUGGUAAUCUAUGGAUUUCAGAGCUGACUCCAGGCCUCCUCUUAUUUUACUUUGUCUUUAUUUCAGUUUUAGGGGAAAAUAUGUAUUUUUAUAUUUUAGUUAUGUACUAAAUGCUCUUACACCAUGACACCAGAUUUUUGGGACUUAUGAGAUUUAUUUUAGACUCUUAUUUUAUUAUGUUCUAUAUUGGCUUGACUUUAUUCUAGAAGACUCACCUUGGUUUAUGUUAUUUUCGAUUUUAUUUUUUCUGUAUUAGUUUGGGUGAUUAACUUACUCAUCAAGGCUGAGCCACAAUUAGUGCUCUCAUGACCACUUUUUGAAUCAGGAUAAAUUGAUAUUAGAGCAUCCAGGUUCACCGGUCUCAUAAGUGUGAGAUUAAAAUGUCCAGUUGAGUCUCGAGGAUCGGUACAUAGACAUUUACAUCUAUCUUUGAGAGCCUAUAAGAUAUCUGUAGGAAGUAUUAAAACACCCUGGGUUUUGACCCUUAGAAAAUAUCCUGGAAUUCUUGUCUCUAAACCCAAUAUGACUCAUGGGUAUGAUUCAUAUGUUGGGGUACGAAUAGUAUGGUCUGGUCAUAUGCCGACCGGUGUGGGUUUUUGGGAUGGAUUUUGGUCACUGGAGUGGGUACGACUUGAAUGGUACGAGUUGUAUGAUUGGAUACGAAUCAUUUGGUUUAGGUUUUCCUUAGCUAAAUCUUAAACCUGGUCGCUUAAGUUGAAUCUAAGUACGUGUAGCUCACCAUGAGCCAUAAGUUAGGGUACGAAUCAUACCAGAGAUUUGUAUGGUGGACAUUGUUCAAACCUUCUGUGAUUCUGGCCUUCCAGGGAAACGAGUGAAGGGUACAGAUCUUGUGUUUUCAAUACGACUUAGGGAGGAUGAGUCAUUCACUGGACAGUUUUUGGUCCAAGGGUUGAGGUUUAGGAUAUAAGUGAUAGGUACCACUUGUAUCCAAGGGUAUGAAUAGUAAGGGUUAGUCAUACCGUUGUGAUGGGAUUUUUGUGCAACUUAAGUGGGGGUAUUUUGGACAUUUUUCCACUUACCCUAAUAAGGCCCCAUGACUUCUAACUCACUUGGGAGGCUAUUUACCCUAUUAUUCUAAUCAUUAACACUUAGCAACUCUUUCUAAACACUCUAUAAUUCUCUCAAGAGCUUUUGGGCAAGGAAGCUAGGGUUUCAACUAGAGGACUAAUUUGGGGGAUCUUGUUAGUGGUUUCUCCCCAUCUAAUUUGUCAAUUAAGGCAUGUUAACUUUCCUCACUAUUAGUUCCAACAAAUUCAUGGGUUUUAUGAAUGGUUUUCAUGAUUUUAUUGUUUUAUGAUUUUGGGUUUUCAACUAUGAUUUGGGGGAUUUGAAUAUAAAUGAUUGGUUAUGGUUUUCCACGAUUUUAAUUAUGUAUUUACAUGCUUAAUUAGUGUUUUUAGACAAUUGGAUUGCAUGGGAAUGGUUAAUUAUAGUUGUAAUUAGUUUUGGUUAUACAACAACAACAAACCCAGUAAAUUCCCACCAAGUGGGGUCUGGGGAGGGUAAAAUGUAGGCAGUCCAUAUCGCUACUUCCGAAAAAGUAGCGAGACUGUUUCUGAUCGACCCCCGACUUUUGGUUAUAAUAUUCCCUAAAUGUGUUUGGCAAAAUGCCAAUAAGGAUGUUUUCAUUGCAUUGAUUAUUUUUAAUGGAACUCUUGCUUGUUUUGAACUUGGUAAAAGAAUUCUACAUAGUUUAAACAGUUUGGAAAGGUAAAAAGGCUAAAUGGUUAUGCUUGUAGGUUACAUAGAAAUCCCCCAAGUGGUUUAAUAUGGUUAAUAGAAGGGUAUAUAGAAUCCCUUAAACCAAUAUAUGGUCGGCUUAAGAAAAAACUUGCAAGUAUAGUCGGUAUGACGAUACUAGUACUAAUGGCCUGGGUUAAUAAAUGGUAAAUAGAUUGGUUGGUUGCUUGGUAAUAGUUUUAAUUGGGAAAUAAUGGUAGGGUGUGUAGCAAAUUGAUUGAAGGUAGAGGUCCCAGGGGGACCAAAACGGGAAACUCAUAUUCGCCAAUGUGAGUUUUGGUCCAAGUGACAGUGCGCAUGAUGUCAUACUUUUUAUUUGGGGGAUGUACUAGUCAUCUCAAGUUUUAUUCCCUGGUCAUACGGCUUCACUCACUGAAGCCCUUUCAUCAUGGGGAGCUGAAUCCAUAUAGCCCGUAGGUGGUUUAAGACAACUAAGAUACAAAACUCAGGUAAAGGUUGUAAUGGCAUGCUAAACUUGAUUUUCUUUUCCCGGCAGGUAUAUAUAUAUGUAUGGUUUGUGUGCAUAUGGAUGGUUUCACUUGAUUUUAUAAAUGAUAUUAUUUUAUCCUUAUCCCAAGUUCAUGCUAGCGUUCACCAGCUAACUCUUCUUCGGGUGGCUGUAUACCCACGCUAUGCAGGAAUCGAUUGUUUUACUCCUCCUACAUAGUGAUUGACUC
Molecule: long non-coding RNA, 12706 nt
Filed under: Capsicum annuum
Lineage: Eukaryota; Viridiplantae; Streptophyta; Magnoliopsida; Solanales; Solanaceae
Description: long non-coding RNA (CANN_LNC009736)
Source: RNAcentral